ACACGUAGGGGGCGAGCGUUGUUCGGACUCAUUGGGCGUAAAGGGCGUGCAGGCGGUCGUGCAAGUCCGGCGUGGAAGACCCCGGCCCCACCGGGGGGCCGCGCCGGAAACUGCAGGGCUUGAGUACAGGCGGGGAGGCCGGAAUUCCCGGUGGAGGGGGGUAAUCUGUAGAUAUCUGGAAGAACACCAAUGGCGAAGGCAGGCAUCUGGCCAUGUACUGACGCUGAGACGCGAAGGUGCGGGGAGCAAACAGGUUUAGAUACCCUGGUAGUCCGCACAGUAAACGAUGUGCACCAGGUGGCGGGGGGUCGACCCCCGGUACCGUAGCUAACGCAUUAAGUGCACCGCCUGGGGAGUAUGCUCGCAAGGGUGAAACUCAAAGGAAUUGACGGGG
Molecule: ribosomal RNA, 394 nt
Filed under: uncultured bacterium
Lineage: Bacteria
Description: partial 16S ribosomal RNA
Rfam family: Bacterial small subunit ribosomal RNA
Source: RNAcentral